Molecule: long non-coding RNA, 1323 nt
Filed under: Felis catus (domestic cat)
Lineage: Eukaryota; Metazoa; Chordata; Mammalia; Carnivora; Felidae
Description: lncRNA (ENSFCAG00000052151.1)
Source: RNAcentral
GUUUGGUCCUCGGCUCCUGUGGGAUGUUGCUGCCUCCGCGAGCAGGUCGAUACCAACAGUGGCAGAGCCGGCAGCGCGGGGAGGCCUGCACACGUUCCUGCACCCUGGCUUGGCACGAGUUCCUAGCUGGCCCUGCAGAGGUCUUGGUUGGAGGGGUUCAGAAUAGAGCGGCCCCACCCCGGCCCCCUGAGCCGAGGGAGGCAGCCCCCGGGUCACCAGGAACCGCCCGGUCCCUCCUCUCCUGGACCAAGCCUCCCAGGUCGCUGGGCGUGCGGGGCUGUCCCCAGUGCUGACUCGAGGACCAGAGCCAAGGCCGUGGGACGGUCUGACGUGCUCCUACGCUGUCAGUCCUGGCUGAGGUCCGGGUUCAGGUGGGGGAGCUGCUCCGAGCACCCCAUUUCUCAUCACACCCGCCCCCUGCUGCUGGACAGCGGCCCAGAUCUGCGGCCGCCUCUGCCCAGUGUCCCCACUGGCACCUCCGGCCCAGGUGCAACCAGCAGGGGGUGCUCUUCUCCUGGGGUUUAUUGCCCAUUUCCCUUCCUGUAGGACUCCAAAAGUUUCCAAAAGGCUGAAAGCCAAGGAUCCAGUUCUGAAAUCCCAGCUGAGCCGCCCCCUCCGAAGGAGCUGGAAAACCCCAAGCACAUGUGGCCUUGCAGCUGCUGCUUUAUGCCUCGGGCAUCCCAGCCCACAGAGCUGUCCACACCGUGUCCCCGGGCCGGGAGGACCGCCUAGAGAAAUGCUGAGCUGGGAGGAGGUCCUUCUGGCCCUCCAACCCCAACACUCCUGUGAGCAGCUGCUAGAACUUGUCGCCUGGAGCCCCUACAAGCACCUGCGAAGGUCAGCGCUGGUACCGUUUUGUUUUUUGGUUUUUUUUCCUCUAAGCGUGGAGCCCAGCGCAGGGCUUGAACUCACGACCCUGAGAUCAAGACUUGCACUGAGAUCAAGAAUCAGAUGCUUAACCAGCUGAACCACCCAGGUGCCCCUGGUACAGCUUUUUAAUAACCACGUUCUAGAAAGGAGAGAUGCUGUCCUUCCGUGACAGAUGAGGAAACUGAGGCUCCAAGAGCACAAAGUCCCACAGCCGAUGAAGUGGUGGACCCGGGGCCAGGGGACACCAGGUCUGGGGCCCCUCCACCAUUCCAGAUGCCGGGGCACCGGCCUGGCAGGAGAGUGAGAGCCACCUCCCCUGCUCUGGACCAGGCCACAGACUUGAGAGAGAGGCUGCCGGGCGCCCCAGCCUCCGGGACUCGCCGAAGUCAGAGCCACUGCCUCGCAGGGGAGGCCAGGAAGCCACAGGCAGGAAUGGCUCCACAGUCUGCAGGG